This 253-nucleotide ribosomal RNA is filed under the name uncultured bacterium. RNAcentral's name for it is "partial 16S ribosomal RNA". It matches the Rfam family "Bacterial small subunit ribosomal RNA", at positions 524 to 776 of the family's 1533-position model. The record is from RNAcentral.
GACGAACCGAGCGAACGUUGUUCGGAAUCACUGGGCUUAAAGGGCGCGUAGGCGGGCUGCCAAGUUUGGGGUGAAAUCCUCCGGCUCAACCGGAGCAGUGCCUCGAAUACUGGCGGUCUCGAGGGAGGUAGGGGCGUGCGGAACUGUGGGUGGAGCGGUGAAAUGCGUUGAUAUCCAUAGGAACUCCGGUGGCGAAGGCGGCACGCUGGACCUUUUCUGACGCUGAGGCGCGAAAGCCAGGGGAGCGAACGGG